RNAcentral lists this ribosomal RNA (253 nucleotides) under uncultured bacterium. RNAcentral describes it as "partial 16S ribosomal RNA". It matches the Rfam family "Bacterial small subunit ribosomal RNA", at positions 524 to 776 of the family's 1533-position model. The record is from RNAcentral.
UACGUAGGGUGCAAGCGUUGUCCGGAAUUAUUGGGCGUAACGAGCUCGUAGGCGGUCUGUUGCGUCGGCUGUGAAAACCCGGGGCUCAACCCCGGGCCUGCAGCCGAUACGGGCAGACUAGAGUUCGGCAGGGGAGACUGGAAUUCCUGGUGUAGCGGUGAAAUGCGCAGAUAUCAGGAGGAACACCGGUGGCGAAGGCGGGUCUCUGGGCCGAUACUGACGCUGAGGAGCGAAAGCGUGGGGAGCGAACAGG